GCCUUCGUGGUAUAAUGGUAGCACACUCCGCUCACAUUUGAGAGGUCCAGGUUCGAGUCCUGGCGAGGGCA
This is a non-coding RNA of Stegodyphus mimosarum, 71 nucleotides long. The record is from Rfam. NCBI's taxonomy places the organism in Eukaryota, Metazoa, Arthropoda, Arachnida, Araneae, Eresidae.